GAUGAACGCUGGCGGCGUGCCUAAUACAUGCAAGUCGAGCGAACGGACGAGAAGCUUGCUUCUCUGAUGUUAGCGGCGGACGGGUGAGUAACACGUGGAUAACGUACCUAUAAGACUGGGAUAACUUCGGGAAACCGGAGCUAAUACCGGAUAAUAUUUUGAACCGCAUGGUUCAAAAGUGAAAGACGGUCUUGCUGUCACUUAUAGAUGGAUCCGCGCUGCAUUAGCUAGUUGGUAAGGUAACGGCUUACCAAGGCAACGAUGCAUAGCCGACCUGAGAGGGUGAUCGGCCACACUGGAACUGAGACACGGUCCAGACUCCUACGGGAGGCAGCAGUAGGGAAUCUUCCGCAAUGGGCGAAAGCCUGACGGAGCAACGCCGCGUGAGUGAUGAAGGUCUUCGGAUCGUAAAACUCUGUUAUUAGGGAAGAACAUAUGUGUAAGUAACUGUGCACAUCUUGACGGUACCUAAUCAGAAAGCCACGGCUAACUACGUG
RNAcentral lists this ribosomal RNA (497 nucleotides) under uncultured bacterium. Its description in RNAcentral is "partial 16S ribosomal RNA". It matches the Rfam family "Bacterial small subunit ribosomal RNA", at positions 28 to 507 of the family's 1533-position model. The record is from RNAcentral.